Homo sapiens (human) is the source of this 1493-nucleotide long non-coding RNA. RefSeq lists it as uncharacterized. The transcript has 3 exons. NCBI's taxonomy places the organism in Eukaryota, Metazoa, Chordata, Mammalia, Primates, Hominidae. The record is from RefSeq and is a predicted model, not a curated record.
AAUGUGGCAGCAGACAAGUUCACAGUGGCCCUGGGGCUUCCUCAAUCCAUCUCUUCCCCACCCCCAAAAAAACCUGCUUCUGCCGUCGGGACAAGCUCAAGCUAGUUGUUGGAGGAUGAGAGGCCACACAGAGGAGACUUGAGGCGCCUCAGCCCACAGCCCGCCCAGCCCUCAACCAUGGAAAACGCUAGCCUGGACCUGGAGGAUCACCCUACCCCAUCCUCUGCUGACCAAAAACACAAGAACAAUGAUUGAUAUGGAUUGUUCCAAGCCACUGACUGUUGGGGUGAUUUGUUAAGCAGUGAUCAACGACCCAUAUCUACCACCAAGGCUGGCGGGCAGGGGCAUUAUCAUGGCUCACUGCAGCCUUGACCUCCUCUCGGGCUCAAGCAAUCCUCCAUAUUAGCCUACUGAUUAGCUGGGACUACAAGUGCUUGCCACCACUCCCAAAUAAUUUUUAUAUUUUUUGUAAAGACAAGGUUUCUCCAUAUUGCCCAGGCUGGUCUUGAACUCCUGAGCUCAAGCAAUCUGCCCGCCUCGACCUCCCACAGUGCUGGGAUUACAGAAUAAACAGCAGAAGAACAGAACCAUGUUCGGCUCUACAGCCACCGCUGCCAAAGCCUGGGCAACACUCAAGAAUGCGAACAAAUCCCAGGUCGGCACUGCCUGAUCCAGACCCUGGGGUCCUCGUCCUCCUGCCCAGCAUGGGGUGCUGGCUGUGCUGAGGCUGCGGCCAGGACUACAGGGACGGAGUUGUGUGAUUAGAUCCUGGAUGGAGCUGGAUGGAACCGAAUAUCUUAAUUCUAAAAAGAUUUCCAGAAAAUCAUACCGACCAGAGGACAUCCAGCCCAGCUUAACACAGACGACGACCACUCAAGGUGAGACGCAGCCCUUGGCCCCAGCUUCCCAUGGGCAGGGAGCCAGCCGAGCCCCUCAGAGGCGUUCCCCAAGGCUCUGCAGAUGCGGCCCAGGAAGAUGCAGGAAAAGAAGGACAGCCCAGUGUCUGGGGCCCCUCCCAGGGCGAAGAACCGGCAUUCCUACCGCAGCCCAGGCUGACGCUGCAGCCAGUCCCGGGGCAUUUUAGAGUCCCCAGGGACCGGUAACUGCUGUGGGUCCCCUGAUUCCCCUUCUAGUUGGGCGCAUUUACCGAGACAAGCCUGUCCCCGGCUCGGUGCUGUGUGGGGCCCAGCAGGGCUGGUCACUCGUCUUAGUGCCCAAGGCUCCAGGUUAAGAGGAGCCACGUGAGCCACGAUGGUCAUCACCAGAUGCUGGGUGCCGUGCUCGAAGCCAGGACCGGCUGAGGCUUUCGGGGGUUGCAUGUUUUGCAUGCAUCAGUGAAGGAGACAUUUGUGACCCACUACUGGGGCAGGUGGUUUCACUUUCCCACCAUUAUGUCCAGAAUUGGUAGGUUCUUGGUCUCACUAACCUCAAGAAUGAAGCCGUGGACCCUCGUGGUGAGUGUUACAAUUCUUAAAGAUGGUGUGUCCGGAGUU